AAACAGAUGGUAUGACCAAGUGGGAGAGAGACUCUGUCUGCAAAACUGGGAGAGCUUCACUCUGACUGGGGGUGGAAGAGGAAUGAACAAGUCCACCCCAGCGUAAAAAUAAGAUGAAAAUAUAAAAGAAUGUCAGUGUUGAAGGUUACUCCUUUUGAUUUUGCCAAUAUCCCGGAACCAUGUGAGCACAUGAACAUUCCAAAGAAGAAGAUACCUCCAGGUUCUUCAGAUGAGUCUCACUCUGUUGCCCAGGCUGGAAUACACUGGCACCGUCUCAGCUCACUGCAACCUCCGACUCCCUGGUUCAAGCGAUUCUCCUGC
RNAcentral lists this long non-coding RNA (321 nucleotides) under Homo sapiens (human). Its description in RNAcentral is "HSALNT0309289". The record is from RNAcentral. Lineage: Eukaryota; Metazoa; Chordata; Mammalia; Primates; Hominidae.